This 909-nucleotide long non-coding RNA is filed under the name Helianthus annuus (common sunflower). Its description in RNAcentral is "hypothetical non coding rna". Lineage: Eukaryota; Viridiplantae; Streptophyta; Magnoliopsida; Asterales; Asteraceae. The record is from RNAcentral.
AUGAAUUAAAUCAUAAACCUAUUACCUACCUACCAUUUACCUUACUUCCUUUCUUUUCUUUUUCUUUGGACAUAACCAUCACAAUCAAACUUUAAUUUUGAUUGUCAUACACUCAAUUACACAUUACCCUAUUAUUAUAUUGAGGAGCACAUGGUGUAGAACAACCCAUUUCUGAUUUCUUAUAAAGAGACCAAUAUGAUUUUAUUAUCAAACCACACUAAAAUACACAUACACCCAAAAGUCUAAUCUAAGUUCAAGAGUUCAAGUUCGAAGUUCAGUGCUUUCAAAAUCCAUCUCUUUGCUUGAAUCAAGUUCGCAUAAGUUUUGAGGACGACCCAAUUUGUGGAUUCUCUUUUGCUUGCUAAACUAAGGUACGGAUUCCCAUUUCUGACAUCAUAGUAUUUUUAUCCUAUCCGUCACUUUGCAGUGCGGAUUUUUGUGUGUCCCUGUUAGCCGUUUGAUAUGUGAUGCGAACCAGUCUGGUAUUGUUUGUAUGAUUAUUAGAGUGAUGUAGCAUGCCAUACCUUAGACUUGUACUCAUGGUCGCAUGUUCCUAUUAGUAUUAUUUUCAGUUGAUUGUAAACUAUUUACAUGGCCUUAGUUUUUGUACUCUGUCACCCGAGCGUCUGGCUUGCCGUUUGGGCGUCAACGGCAUGGCACUUAUCGUGACAUUUUUGUACUCUGUCCCCCGAGCGUCUGGCUUGCCGUUUGGGCGUCAACGGCAUGGAACUUAUCGUGACAGUGCGUAAUAAAAGUUCACGGCGUCUCUAGUUUGUGCUCGUGUAGCGCCUUGGCCCCUAGAGGCGUAUAGAUCGAUCUUAGUUCCGAGUUUGAGUUUGUAGUGUGGAGAUGGAAUAAUGAGUGAACGCCACACUCACCAUCUCAUAGGUACAUGGACUAGCUAGCUGU